RNAcentral lists this ribosomal RNA (739 nucleotides) under uncultured soil bacterium. RNAcentral's name for it is "bacterial SSU rRNA". It matches the Rfam family "Bacterial small subunit ribosomal RNA", at positions 38 to 770 of the family's 1533-position model. The record is from RNAcentral.
GGCGGCAUGCCUUACACAUGCAAGUCGAGCGGCAGCGCGGGGGCAACCCUGGCGGCGAGCGGCGAACGGGUGAGUAAUGCAUCGGAACGUGUCCUCUUGUGGGGGAUAACCAGUCGAAAGACUGGCUAAUACCGCAUGAGAUCGAGAGAUGAAAGCAGGGGAUCCGCAAGGACCUUGCGCGAGAGGAGCGGCCGAUGCCCGAUUAGCUAGUUGGUGGGGUAAAAGCCUACCAAGGCGACGAUCGGUAGCUGGUCUGAGAGGACGACCAGCCACACUGGGACUGAGACACGGCCCAGACUCCUACGGGAGGCAGCAGUGGGGAAUCUUGGACAAUGGGGGCAACCCUGAUCCAGCCAUGCCGCGUGCGUGAAGAAGGCCUUCGGGUUGUAAAGCACUUUCGGACGGAACGAAAUCGCGCGGAUUAAUAACCCGCGUGGAUGACGGUACCGUAAGAAGAAGCACCGGCUAACUACGUGCCAGCAGCCGCGGUAAUACGUAGGGUGCGAGCGUUAAUCGGAAUUACUGGGCGUAAAGCGUGCGCAGGCGGUUAUAUAAGACAGAUGUGAAAUCCCCGGGCUCAACCUGGGACCUGCAUUUGUGACUGUAUAGCUAGAGUACGGUAGAGGGGGAUGGAAUUCCGCGUGUAGCAGUGAAAUGCGUAGAUAUGCGGAGGAACACCGAUGGCGAAGGCAAUCCCCUGGACCUGUACUGACGCUCAUGCACGAAAGCGUGGGGAGCA